UGGGGAAUAUUGCACAAUGGGGGGAAACCCUGAUGCAGCGACGCCGCGUGAGUGAAGAAGUAAUUCGUUAUGUAAAGCUCUAUCAGCAGGGAAGAAAAUGACGGUACCUGAGUAAGAAGCCCCGGCUAACUACGUGCC
Molecule: ribosomal RNA, 138 nt
Filed under: uncultured bacterium
Lineage: Bacteria
Description: partial 16S ribosomal RNA
Rfam family: Bacterial small subunit ribosomal RNA
Source: RNAcentral